Molecule: unclassified non-coding RNA, 169 nt
Filed under: uncultured Dothideomycetes
Lineage: Eukaryota; Fungi; Ascomycota; Dothideomycetes
Description: sequence contains ITS1
Source: RNAcentral
CAGAGUACCGGGACCCCAGGUCCCUACUCCCAUCCCAUGUUAACUUUUUACCGUUGCUUUGGCGGAUCGGUGGUCCGACUGCCGCCGGCCCUAGGCUGGAGAGCGUCCGCCAGAGGAUCUUUAAACGCUGUUUUAAACAUGCGCUCUGAGUACAACUUAAUUAGAAUCA